GGGCCCAUAGUUUAAUGGUUAGAACAGUUUGCUCAUAACGAAUUUGUGUAGGUUCAAUUCCUGCUGGGCCUA
This 72-nucleotide transfer RNA is filed under the name Ancyromonas sigmoides. RNAcentral describes it as "tRNA-Met". It matches the Rfam family "tRNA". Rfam says of the family: Transfer RNA (tRNA) molecules are approximately 80 nucleotides in length. Their secondary structure includes four short double-helical elements and three loops (D, anti-codon, and T loops). The record is from RNAcentral. Lineage: Eukaryota; Ancyromonadida; Ancyromonadidae.